This 244-nucleotide ribosomal RNA is filed under the name uncultured bacterium. Its description in RNAcentral is "partial 16S ribosomal RNA". It matches the Rfam family "Bacterial small subunit ribosomal RNA", at positions 1257 to 1500 of the family's 1533-position model. The record is from RNAcentral.
GCGAGGUGGAGCAAAUCUCAAAAAGACCGUCCCAGUUCGGAUUGCAGGCUGCAACCCGCCUGCAUGAAGUUGGAAUCGCUAGUAAUCGCGGAUCAGCAUGCCGCGGUGAAUACGUUCCCGGGCCUUGUACACACCGCCCGUCACACCAUGAGAGUCGGGAACACCCGAAGUCCGUAGCCUAACCGCAAGGGGGGCGCGGCCGAAGGUGGGUUCGAUAAUUGGGGUGAAGUCGUAACAAGGUAUC